UAGGGAAUCUUCGGCAAUGGACGAAAGUCUGACCGAGCAACGCCGCGUGAGUGAAGAAGGUUCUCGGGAUCGUAAAACUCUGUUGGUUAGAGAAGAACGUUGGUGAGAGUGGAAAGCUCAUCAAGUGACGGUAACUACCCAGAAAGGGACGCUAACUACGUACCAG
This 166-nucleotide ribosomal RNA is filed under the name uncultured bacterium. Its description in RNAcentral is "partial 16S rRNA". It matches the Rfam family "Bacterial small subunit ribosomal RNA", at positions 355 to 511 of the family's 1533-position model. The record is from RNAcentral.